ACGCUCGACACCUACGGGAGGCAGCAGUGAGGAAUAUUGGUCAAUGGGCGCUAGCCUGAACCAGCCAAGUAGCGUGAAGGAUGAAGGCCCUAUGGGUCGUAAACUUCUUUUAUAUAAGAAUAAAGUGCAGUAUGUAUACUGUUUUGUAUGUAUUAUAUGAAUAAGGAUCGGCUAACUCCGUGCCACAGCCGCGGUAAUCUGAGCGGGCUGGCAAGGC
This 217-nucleotide ribosomal RNA is filed under the name uncultured bacterium. Its description in RNAcentral is "partial 16S ribosomal RNA". It matches the Rfam family "Bacterial small subunit ribosomal RNA", at positions 328 to 539 of the family's 1533-position model. The record is from RNAcentral.